RNAcentral lists this ribosomal RNA (1748 nucleotides) under Triticum aestivum (bread wheat). Its description in RNAcentral is "partial small subunit ribosomal RNA". Lineage: Eukaryota; Viridiplantae; Streptophyta; Magnoliopsida; Poales; Poaceae. The record is from RNAcentral.
CUCCCCCAAGCAAGGAACCCCCUUAUCCGGUUUUGACCAAACCGUUCGCCGCCGGGUCAGUUCGUCCGCCCAUCAACAUGGGACCCGAGCCUCCUCUCCUGCCAAUUCCUUCCUAGCCAGCCAGCACGCGGCCACAAAGCUUUACCUAGGCAGCGGUCCAUACGGGUGGACGAAUCCAUACGUUUUUCAACGGUUUGUUUAGCACCCGGUCUCCCUCCUCCGCCUCUGCUUCCGUCGUCUCCCGCCGCCACCAACGGUGUCUGAUUGGUCGUUGGUCGCAUAAUUCGCUGGUAUAUAUUCGCGGCCAUGUCGCGGAUCAUUGCGUCUGAAUUCCUGGAAGGGAAAGCGAGGUAGCCGUGAAUUGGGUACGCAGCAGCUCGGGUUUCAGCUCGGGCUCGUCCGGUGGUGAUGGAGAAGGGAGGAAGAGGGCUGUCCUGCCGGGCCGCGGUCUGCGGCAUCGUCGUCCUGCUCUGCGCCACCGCCUUCUCCUGCUCCCUCGCCGCCGAGUUCCGCAGAGUCAAGGUCAGGCUCCUGCUCCUGCUCUCUUUGUUGCGCUCGUCGUGUUGCAAUUGGCGAGAGGCUCCGGUUCCCGGAUCGGAUCUGAAUCGCCUGCCUGUCGGUUGCUCGAUCAGGACGAGGACAUGAAGCUGGACGGCAGCCUCUGCUCCCUGCCCAAGAGCUCCGCCUUCGAAUUGGGCGUCGCGGCCAUCGCCUUCCUCUCCGUCGCGCAGCUCGUCGGCACCACCGCGGCGGCGACCACCAUGUGCGCCUCCAGCUCCAAGCCCAGCAAGUCCGUCGCCACCAGAGGCCGCGUCGCGCCCGUCGCACUGCUGGCCCUCUCAUGGGUGUGCUUCGCUCUGGCCGUUAUCCUGCUGGCGACGGCGGCGAGCAUGAACAGCGGGCAGCGCUACGGCCGGGGGUGGAUGGACGGCGACUGCUACAUCGCUAGGAACGGCGUGUUCGGCGGCGCCGCCGCGCUGGUCGUCAUCACGGCGCUCCUCAUCCUCGGCCUCACCUUCGCCACCAAAACCGCGGGGGGUGGCUCGAGCACGACGGCGUGCGCAAGAGGAGACGCCGCCCGCACAACUACCAUCCGUGUCGACGCGGCAACAGGCGCGGGCGCGGAACAGCCGGGCAGGCGAUCCAAGCAAUGAUCGGUGCUGGCAUCGGCAGAUCGAUCGGACACGAGGGCGGGGCGGGCCAACCGGUGGAGAGGUCGAUGGCACGCUUCGCUGUUCGUCCCGCAAAGGCCAAGCCGAGUGGGGCAUCUUCCUCUCCUUUUGGUCUCGGGUGGGGGCAUCUUGGUAGGCUGGCAAAGCUGAGAAAGGCGAUCUCGGGAGUACUGCCGGUGGGUUGGAUGGGAGGGACACAGUACAUAAUUACUGACACGUUUACUGACGUCGCCGUGCAAAUUGUAAAUGACAUUACCGAACUGGUAAGAAGGAAAGAUCCUCAAGGAUCGUACAGAACAGAACAGAAAUUACUCGGGUUUGUGCUCUGCUGCCAUUUUGAGCACUAACAUCGAUUGGCGGCUAGUGAGCAUCUCCAGCCGAUCCAUAAAUAGUGAGGUAAUAGCACCCAGGUACCCUAACUUGCAUAGAAUAUGAUGAUUUAGUCCCAAACUUGCAAAACAUCACUCUACCAUACCCCAACUUGCACCUCAUGUGAUGAUUUAGUCCCAGACCAAUCACGCCAAUUGGCAGCCAGGUGGCUGGACCGGUCAGCGCACGCACUUUUGCAGAAUCCCC